Unclassified non-coding RNA from Macaca fascicularis (crab-eating macaque), 148 nucleotides. It matches the Rfam family "Metazoan signal recognition particle RNA". From Rfam's summary of the family: The signal recognition particle (SRP) is a universally conserved ribonucleoprotein. Lineage: Eukaryota; Metazoa; Chordata; Mammalia; Primates; Cercopithecidae. The record is from Ensembl.
GCUGGGUGUGGUGGCGCACACCUGUAAUCCCAGCUUCUCAGGAGGCUGAGGCACAGGAAUCGCUUGAACCUGGGAGGCAGAGGUUGCAGUGAGCCGAAAUGGUGCCAUUGCACUCCAGCCUGGGUAACAGAGUGAGACUCUGUCUCAA